Molecule: ribosomal RNA, 479 nt
Filed under: uncultured bacterium
Lineage: Bacteria
Description: bacterial SSU rRNA
Rfam family: Bacterial small subunit ribosomal RNA
Source: RNAcentral
GAUGAACGCUGGCGGCGUGCUUAACACAUGCAAGUCGAGCGGAGCUCAAAUGCGGAUCCCUUCGGGGUGGAACAUCUGAGCUUAGCGGCGGACGGGUGCGUAACGCGUGGGUAAUCUGCCCUUGUCACCGGGAUAACACAUCGAAAGGUGUGCUAAUACCGAAUGAAAUACAGACCCGGCAUCGGGACUGUAUCAAAGUCAUGCGGACAAGGAUGAGCCUGCGUCUGAUUAGCUUGUUGGUGGGGUAAAAGCCUACCAAGGCGACGAUCAGUAGCCGACCUGAGAGGGUGAUCGGCCACACUGGAACUGAGACACGGUCCAGACUCCUACGGGAGGCAGCAGUGGGGAAUAUUGCACAAUGGGCGCAAGCCUGAUGCAGCAACGCCGCGUGAGUGAUGAAGGCCUUCGGUCGUAAACUACUGUCCUAAGGGAAGAUAAUGACGGUACCUUAGGAGGAAGCCCGGCUAACUACGUGCCAG